RNAcentral lists this ribosomal RNA (459 nucleotides) under uncultured bacterium. RNAcentral describes it as "partial 16S ribosomal RNA". It matches the Rfam family "Bacterial small subunit ribosomal RNA", at positions 339 to 795 of the family's 1533-position model. The record is from RNAcentral.
CUACGGGCCGCUGCAGUGAGGAAUAUUGGUCAAUGGGCGAGAGCCUGAACCAGCCAUCCCGCGUGCGGGAUGACGGCCCUAUGGGUUGUAAACUGCUUUUCCAUACCAAGAAACCUGAUUACGUGUAAUUAGUUGCCGGUAGUAUGGGAAUAAGCAUCGGCUAACUCCGUGCCAGCAGCCGCGGUAAUACGGAGGAUGCAAGCGUUAUCCGGAUUCAUUGGGUUUAAAGGGUGCGCAGGUGGGCUUGUAAGUCAGUGGUGAAAUGUUGCCGCUUAACGGUAAAAUUGCCAUUGAUACUGCAAGUCUUGAAUAUAGUUGAGGUAGGCGGAAUGUGUUGUGUAGCGGUGAAAUGCAUAGAUAUGACACAGAACACCGAUUGCGAAGGCAGCUUACUAAGCUAUUAUUGACGCUGAGGCACGAAAGCGUGGGGAUCGAACAGGAUUAGAUACCCUGGUAGUC